Molecule: long non-coding RNA, 1018 nt
Organism: Rhopalosiphum maidis (corn leaf aphid)
Lineage: Eukaryota; Metazoa; Arthropoda; Insecta; Hemiptera; Aphididae
Exons: 3
Source: RefSeq, a predicted model, not a curated record
GAUCCUGUUCCGGAUUGCAGUGACCGGUCUACGCCUUAUCGGCCACCACCACGGGCAACAACGACACGACACCGGCACCACGUCUCAAACGCACAUGGUGGGACGUGAAGACAAGUCGGUCCGGACGAGUAUCGGCCGCUGGUCGUCUCGCUCUCAGCGUGAACCUUCUUAUCGACAACAGCGACAACGCUGCAUAGUCGUACGUGCAUUCUCUUUUAUGUCGUCAACACCUGACAUAGUGACAUUUAACAACUAGCUAUUGUGUACCUUUGUAUAUCAUCUUUAAAAAAUACAUCGUACAAAUAGUGAAAUUUGUGUUGUUCUUUUAUACUGACCGGCUCACCGCGGACUAACAGAGCACCUACCACCAUAGCCGCGUCAGUGUGACCUCCUAUACUCCUAAAUAUAGCUGUUAGCUGUAUUGACCAAGACUCAAAGCCUGAUUGGACAAAUUCGGUUCACCAAGUUUCUGAGUUUUAACAUCAACAGCAUGGCGUAUAAAGGCAGGCCACUUUAAGCUCAAACUACUAUCAAUUUUUCAGGCCAAUCAAUUUAUAAAGUGGGUCUAAUAACUAUACAAAAUUGGAUUUUUAAAAAGCAAAUAUAUACCCAGCACGGUACAAAUGAAGCCACUGCAAUAGGUCGGCUUUGUGGAGAUCAACGGCAAUACCAAUCAAAUUACAGUCCGGUCUACAUCCGGGAUUGCGACACCCGUGAACUCGUCACACGACGGGGUGCCGGAGAAUGUACGCUGGUGAUUUGUCAUCAAACUCAGUAGUGCCUCCUCUUUUUCAUACUCCCGAUCCUGAAUCACCACAUGCGAAGGUUUCACUGGAGUAACACAAUUUUUCGUACAUCGUCGGUUCGUCAACAGUGAAAUUGUAUCUUAGUGUAAUUCCAUGCUGCUUAAGUUACCGCUGCGAAAAACUUAAUAAAUUAUAACGAUAAUUAAAUUCUUAUUAUAAUAAUUAGAAUAAUUAGAAUAUUAAUAGUCAAAAUAAAUAUGUCCUAUGUUGAU